RNAcentral lists this ribosomal RNA (2877 nucleotides) under Acinetobacter baumannii. RNAcentral describes it as "bacterial LSU rRNA". It matches the Rfam family "Bacterial large subunit ribosomal RNA". Lineage: Bacteria; Pseudomonadati; Pseudomonadota; Gammaproteobacteria; Moraxellales; Moraxellaceae. The record is from RNAcentral.
GUUGUAUAGUCAAGUAAUUAAGUGCAUGUGGUGGAUGCCUUGGCAGUCAGAGGCGAUGAAAGACGUGAUAGCCUGCGAAAAGCUCCGGGGAGGCGGCAAAUAUCCUUUGAUCCGGAGAUGUCUGAAUGGGGGAACCCACCUACUUUAAGGUAGGUAUUGCAACAUGAAUACAUAGUGUUGCAAGGCGAACGAGGGGAAGUGAAACAUCUCAGUACCCUUAGGAAAAGAAAUCAAUUGAGAUUCCCUCAGUAGCGGCGAGCGAACGGGGAUCAGCCCAUUAAGUUAUGUGUGUUUUAGUGGAACGCUCUGGGAAGUGCGAACGUAGAGGGUGAUAUUCCCGUACACGAAAGGGCACACAUAAUGAUGACGAGUAGGGCGAGGCACGUGAAACCUUGUCUGAAUAUGGGGGGACCAUCCUCCAAGGCUAAAUACUCCUGACUGACCGAUAGUGAACCAGUACCGUGAGGGAAAGGCGAAAAGAACCCCUGUGAGGGGAGUGAAAUAGAUCCUGAAACCGCAUGCAUACAAGCAGUGGGAGCACCUUCGUGGUGUGACUGCGUACCUUUUGUAUAAUGGGUCAGCGACUUAUAUUCAGUAGCAAGGUUAACCGUAUAGGGGAGCCGUAGAGAAAUCGAGUCUUAAUAGGGCGUUUAGUUGCUGGGUAUAGACCCGAAACCAGGCGAUCUAUCCAUGAGCAGGUUGAAGGUUGGGUAACACUAACUGGAGGACCGAACCCACUGUCGUUGAAAAGCCAGGGGAUGACUUGUGGAUAGGGGUGAAAGGCUAAUCAAGCCUGGUGAUAGCUGGUUCUCCCCGAAAGCUAUUUAGGUAGCGCCUCGGACGAAUACCAUAGGGGGUAGAGCACUGUUUCGGCUAGGGGGUCAUCCCGACUUACCAAACCGAUGCAAACUCCGAAUACCUAUGAGUACUAUCCGGGAGACAGACUGCGGGUGCUAACGUCCGUAGUCAAGAGGAAAACAAUCCAGACCGCCAGCUAAGGCCCCAAAAUCAUAGUUAAGUGGGAAACGAUGUGGGAAGGCAUAGACAGCUAGGAGGUUGGCUUAGAAGCAGCCACCCUUUAAAGAAAGCGUAAUAGCUCACUAGUCGAGUCGGCCUGCGCGGAAGAUGUAACGGGGCUAAAACUAUGUGCCGAAGCUGCGGAUNNNNNNNNNNNNNNNNNNNNAUGCUGGAGGUAUCAGAAGUGCGAAUGCUGACGUGAGUAACGACAAAACGGGUGAAAAACCCGUUCGCCGAAAGACCAAGGGUUCCAGUCCAACGUUAAUCGGGGCUGGGUGAGUCGACCCCUAAGGCGAGGCCGAAAGGCGUAGUCGAUGGGAAAAUGGUUAAUAUUCCAUUACUUCUGUGUAAUGCGAUGAGAGGACGGAGAAGGCUAAAUCAGCCUGGCGUUGGUUGUCCAGGUGAAAGGAUGUAGGCAUGUAUCUUAGGCAAAUCCGGGGUACUCUAUGCUGAGAUCUGAUAGCAAGCUGUACUUGUACAGCGAAGUGGUUGAUGCCAUGCUUCCAGGAAAAGUCUCUAAGCUUCAGUUACACAGGAAUCGUACCCGAAACCGACACAGGUGGUCAGGUCGAGUAGACCAAGGCGCUUGAGAGAACUCUGCUGAAGGAACUAGGCAAAAUGGUACCGUAACUUCGGGAGAAGGUACGCUGUUGUUGGUGAUGGAACUCGCUUCCUGAGCUGACGACAGCCGCAGAAACCAGGCCGCUGCAACUGUUUAUUAAAAACAUAGCACUCUGCAAACACGAAAGUGGACGUAUAGGGUGUGAUGCCUGCCCGGUGCUGGAAGGUUAAUUGAUGGGGUUAGCGUAAGCGAAGCUCUUGAUCGAAGCCCCAGUAAACGGCGGCCGUAACUAUAACGGUCCUAAGGUAGCGAAAUUCCUUGUCGGGUAAGUUCCGACCUGCACGAAUGGCAUAAUGAUGGCGGCGCUGUCUCCAGCAGAGGCUCAGUGAAAUCGAAAUCGCUGUGAAGAUGCAGUGUACCCGCGGCUAGACGGAAAGACCCCGUGAACCUUUACUGCAGCUUGACACUGAACUUUGACCUUACUUGUGUAGGAUAGGUGGGAGGCUUUGAAGCUGGAACGCUAGUUCCAGUGGAGCCGUCCUUGAAAUACCACCCUGGUAAUGUUGAGGUUCUAACUCUGUCCCGUGAUCCGGGACGAGGACCGUGUCUGGUGGGUAGUUUGACUGGGGCGGUCUCCUCCUAAAGAGUAACGGAGGAGUACGAAGGUGCGCUCAGCGUGGUCGGAAAUCACGCGUAGAGUAUAAAGGCAAAAGCGCGCUUAACUGCGAGACCCACAAGUCGAGCAGGUACGAAAGUAGGUCUUAGUGAUCCGGUGGUUCUGUAUGGAAGGGCCAUCGCUCAACGGAUAAAAGGUACUCUGGGGAUAACAGGCUGAUACCGCCCAAGAGUUCAUAUCGACGGCGGUGUUUGGCACCUCGAUGUCGGCUCAUCUCAUCCUGGGGCUGAAGCAGGUCCCAAGGGUAUGGCUGUUCGCCAUUUAAAGAGGUACGCGAGCUGGGUUUAGAACGUCGUGAGACAGUUCGGUCCCUAUCUACCGUGGGCGCUGGAAAUUUGAGAGGAUCUGCUCCUAGUACGAGAGGACCAGAGUGGACGAACCUCUGGUGUACCGGUUGUGACGCCAGUCGCAUCGCCGGGUAGCUAUGUUCGGAAGGGAUAACCGCUGAAAGCAUCUAAGCGGGAAGCCUACCUCAAGAUAAGAUUUCCCUAGGACUUUAUGUCCUCUAAAGAGCCGUUCGAGACUAGGACGUUGAUAGGUUGGAUGUGGAAGCAUAGUGAUAUGUGAAGCUGACCAAUACUAAUUGCUCGUGAGGCUUGACUAUACAACACCCAAGCAGUUG